AAACUGUGCCUCCUCUGAGUUCGAGCAUCCCACCCCAGAGCAUGCUGGACUCCUGGAUUGAUGUCUGGAGCUGUGCAGUGCCACUAUAGCAGAAGGGGACAUACCAGCCUGGAGCAGGAGCUUCCUCGUGGAGCCCAGCGUCCUCCCCCCAGAGACCUUGGACUCAGAUGUUAUCAGAUGUCCAGCCCCCAGAACUCCCUUCCUCCCGUCUCCAGGAACUGUCACUGGCCUACAGCCCAACCAAUGAGCUUAAAUCGAUCUCUGUGAUGAGCUCCAAUUACUGGUCUCAGGACCCUGCCUCAGCAUGGGUCUGGGGUUCCAGGAGAAAGAUAGGACAGUCAUACACCAGCCUUUUCCCUCAAGUGUCCUGGGGACUUUUUCCUACU
RNAcentral lists this long non-coding RNA (386 nucleotides) under Mus pahari (shrew mouse). Its description in RNAcentral is "lncRNA (MGP_PahariEiJ_G0003783.1)". The record is from RNAcentral. Lineage: Eukaryota; Metazoa; Chordata; Mammalia; Rodentia; Muridae.